Long non-coding RNA from Fukomys damarensis (Damara mole-rat), 269 nucleotides. RefSeq lists it as uncharacterized. The transcript is spliced from 3 exons. Lineage: Eukaryota; Metazoa; Chordata; Mammalia; Rodentia; Bathyergidae. The record is from RefSeq and is a predicted model, not a curated record.
CGCCCCCGACCCACAGAUCCUGCGCGAACGCCCGCACCGCGUGCAGCCCCGUCAUCUUCCUCCGGGUCCCGCCUCCCCUCCACGGAGUCUGCGCAGGCGCCGCCCUUGACCUUCGGAAAAGCUUGGUUCUGAGGUCAUUCCAGCAGGUUGGCGUUCAUCCCUUACAGAAGAUAUUCACAAGAAGCCUGGAUUCUCAUCUCCCCAGCCCACUACAGCCUGCGCCAAGUGUCUGGCCAGGCGUGGUGGCGCAGCCUGUAAUCCCAGCACUC